RNAcentral lists this ribosomal RNA (320 nucleotides) under uncultured eukaryote. RNAcentral describes it as "partial 18S ribosomal RNA". It matches the Rfam family "Eukaryotic small subunit ribosomal RNA", at positions 1470 to 1796 of the family's 1831-position model. The record is from RNAcentral.
CCCCUAGAUGUUCUGGGCCGCACGCGCGCUACACUGAACAGUUCAACAAGUCUUAACCUUGGCUGAUAGGUCUGGGUAAUCUUUGAACGCUGUUCGUGAUUGGGAUAGACCUUUGCAAUUAUGGGUCUUCAACGAGGAAUUCCUAGUAAACGCAAGUCAUCAGCUUGCAUUGAUUACGUCCCUGCCCUUUGUACACACCGCCCGUCGCACCUACCGAUUGAAUGGUCCGGUGAAAUCUCGGGACGGCGGCUUGGUCGCUUGCGUCCGACUGCUGAAACUUGAUUAAACCAUAUCAUUUAGAGGAAGGUGAAGUCGUANCA